AACGUAGGACGCAAGCGUUAUCCGGAGUUACUGGGCGUAAAGGGCGCGUAGGCGGCCUUCUAAGUCGAACGUGAAAUCCCCGGGCUCAACCCGGGAACUGCGUCCGAUACUGGAAGGCUUGAGGAUGGGAGAGGGAUGUAGAAUUCCAGGCGUAGCGGUGAAAUGCGUAGAUAUCUGGAGGAAUACCGGUGGCGAAGGCGGCAUCCUGGACCAUUACUGACGCUGAGGCGCGAAAGCUAGGGGAGCAAACGGG
This 253-nucleotide ribosomal RNA is filed under the name uncultured bacterium. RNAcentral's name for it is "partial 16S ribosomal RNA". It matches the Rfam family "Bacterial small subunit ribosomal RNA", at positions 524 to 776 of the family's 1533-position model. The record is from RNAcentral.